RNAcentral lists this ribosomal RNA (629 nucleotides) under uncultured bacterium. RNAcentral describes it as "bacterial SSU rRNA". It matches the Rfam family "Bacterial small subunit ribosomal RNA", at positions 771 to 1401 of the family's 1533-position model. The record is from RNAcentral.
AACAGGAUUAGAUACCCUGGUAGUCCACGCCGUAAACGAUGUCGACUUGGAGGUUGUUCCCUUGAGGAGUGGCUUCCGGAGCUAACGCGUUAAGUCGACCGCCUGGGGAGUACGGCCGCAAGGUUAAAACUCAAAUGAAUUGACGGGGGCCCGCACAAGCGGUGGAGCAUGUGGUUUAAUUCGAUGCAACGCGAAGAACCUUACCUACUCUUGACAUCCACGGAAUUCGGCAGAGAUGCCUUUCUUCCCUUCGGGGACUGGAACACAGGUGCUGCAUGGCUGUCGUCAGCUCGUGUCGUGAGAUGUUGGGUUAAGUCCCGCAACGAGCGCAACCCUCGCCUUUAGUUACCAUCAUUUGGUUGGGUACUCUAAAGGAACCGCCGGUGAUAAGCCGGAGGAAGGUGGGGAUGACGUCAAGUCCUCAUGGCCCUUACGCGCUGGGCUACACACGUGCUACAAUGGCAACUACAGUGGGCAGCGACCCUGCGAGGGCGAGCUAAUCCCCAAAAGUUGUCUCAGUUCGGAUUGUUCUCUGCAACUCGAGAGCAUGAAGGCGGAAUUGCUAGUAAUCGCGGAUCAGCAUGCCGCGGUGAAUACGAUCUCAGGCCUUGUACACACCGCCCGUCACA